Dromaius novaehollandiae (emu) is the source of this 8403-nucleotide long non-coding RNA. RefSeq lists it as uncharacterized. The transcript is spliced from 4 exons. The record is from RefSeq and is a predicted model, not a curated record. Lineage: Eukaryota; Metazoa; Chordata; Aves; Casuariiformes; Dromaiidae.
UGUCGCGGUGCGUGAGGCCGCUCACCGGCGUGCCGUUCACCUCCAGCAGCACGUCGCCCGGCGCCGGCGCCUUGCCCGAGAGCAGCGCGGGGCCCGGCGCGCCCUCGCCGCCGAGCGCCAGGCGCCCCGCCAGGUUCACCUCAGUUUGCACAAGAGAGCACAUCAGAAAUACCAGGUUCGAACACCGCAAGUUUUGCAGUGGAAAACAGCAGCAAGCAGCCAAUGUCUUUGUUGUACAGACACCAUUAUGAAACCUGCCUAUAGCAAAUACCAGUAUCUGCUACUAGAUGUUUUCCAGCCCUUACAGAGUCCUCUACCCUUACAGGCCUGGUCCUGUACGACUUACAUAGUAGCUUUUACCAAAAGAACAAAAAUGCUUGCAAAGAAGUAAGAACAACUCCAAUCUUACCGUGAAGCUGUGCUGGCUGGGGUAAAUAACGUAAUCUACACUCGUCUGGAGACGCCAACCCGGCACUACCUGUUCGCAGCGUUCCCAGUGCCCCGAGGUGCGAUGCCUCCAGCGCUGAUGGAGUCACACCCCGCACAGCUCCGGCUCGCUGUGCUCUCUGCUAUCCGAGGCACGCUGGGCUGCCUGCCAGCAGAGGCGGAAAAAACUGCCAGAGACAGGUUUUCCUUCACACUUGCAGGAUGAAAGCGAGGAGGCCGGGAGCUGUGUGGCGCUGGGGGUCUGUCACGUUACUUAAAGCAGACCCCCGGUGUUUUCCAUAGGAACUGUGCCACAGAAAUGAUCCAUAAGGUAUCAGCCUCUGAGAGCGGCCUGUGCCAGAUGAACGCACGCAGUCACAUGUGUACAGCACGGAAACUUCAAGGACGACAAAAAAACUAAAAAAACUGCUAAAACUGCUAAAAAAACUCAUUAGCCACAUAUACACAAAAGUCUCUGGCCUCAUCCACUUCUGUCCCUUGCAGGAAAUUAAACCAACCCAGGCAUUUUCAAAACUAAAAACACGAUAGAGAGGUGCAGAGCAGAUUGGUCCAUCUGGUAUUUCCAGGGUUUGUGUCAGUUUCUGUUAUCUUUGAAGGAACCUGCCAUGGAAGGGCUUCAGGGAACGAGUUCCUAGCAGAAACUAAUACCUCUGCGAAAUCCAAAAUCAUUCAGUGAGUCUAAAUUAUUAUUAACCAAAAGCUUUAUGUGCCUCAUAGGUGCCAGUAAAGACAGCUUCAAGAAUCUUUAUUAAGAUCGACAGCCUCAACAGCCCCAUUUCCACGAUGGCCCUCUAUUUUAUGCUUCGUGCAUGUGACAUUCGCUUCCUGAAUUUGUUUGUUACAGAAGUAGAGCUAAACUUCGAAAUGUGAACAAACUGCUUGGGAACUGACAAUUUUAAUUCUGAUUUAUGCCACGCUGACAGCAAGUAUGUUCAUUCUGCAUUCCUCCUUCCUCUCUGGCUACUCCCCGCCGUUCACAAACAGAUAAAGUAUCUGCGCCACCUCCCAGCGACCAGGGAACACGUCCUGCACCGCCACGGCCCUGGUCUGUGCACGUGUGAAGAACUACGUGUUUGCUGAGCGCUCGUGUUUGAAAUCUCCGUGAGCUAAAGAGGGCCGUCAAAGAAACGUCGGUGCUGCAGCAUCCCCAUCACAUCCUCCUCACGCAUCGCGCGGGGCAGCGGCCACCUCUCUCCUCCUGGCAUUCAGCACGUACAGAUCUCACGACAACAAGCUGCGGAGCCGCUGCAGGCCAGAACGGAGGGGAGAAACCGGUUCAGGACAGUGCAAAGUGCGCGGUAGGUGGGGAAGCAAAGUUUAUCACACUGCCAGAGUUCAAAGGCAAUCAGAACAGCAGAAACGCGCCAGGCUGCUGUGUGGCUGCAGCGUGGAGGCACCUUCGCAGGGAGGACGGGAAGGGGAACUGUGGUGUUGCACCCGGACUGCCACGACGCCGCUCCCCUAGUGCCCAACACCUGCAGUGCAGCUGUACGUGCUACACGCAGCUCACGGGUCCUGUGCUUGAGGGGUCCAGACGGAGGGGAAUGCUCACGCAACACACAUACACAAGGCAAGAACGGCUGCGUGCUCAGCAAGGACAAAAUGAAAACAAGUUUCCCCAGUAAGAGCAAUGUGUAGAAAUGUGUUAUUCUCUAACCUCCCAGGGACGGGGUUCCCAGGAGCUCGGACUGUCCCGCAGCAACACUAUCUGACCGUGAUGCUGUCAAAACUGCUGUGAGAACCAGCAGCGCUGGUUGGCUCCACUGCACCAGCUGAAACCAAAACUGCUCAAAGGCAGCACUGUCAGAGAGGGGCAGCAGGCAGAACGGUCCUCCCUAACAGGAGUGCUCAGCUCAGAGGCAGGGCAGCAAGCUACCCAACACGCGAGGUGUCCUAAGGAAGCCUAAACAAAUCAUUGUUGGAUAAGGGUGGUUCAAAGCCAGACACUUGCUAGUCUGUAGACAGACACAUCCAGGGUUGCCUAUUCGAAAACUGUGACCUAGGAUACAGUGAUCUGAAAGCAAACUUUGAAACACAUCAUAAAUGAGCUUGUACUGGAGCAGGAGCUGCCAGCAAGCAGAUCUUACCAGGGGAUUUCAUCAAGCUCCAGAAAAGCUUAGAGAAUAAACCCAAGACUUAAUAGAGAUCUAUGUCAACUUGGGUUGACUAAGCCUCGGUGUCUGGAAUCCUCACCUGGGAAUGGAAAAUGCAUCAGCCCCAACAGGCUGUACAUCAGCAACAAGAAAUGCUUCACAGAUGCAAAACUGCUCCAUAAAUCUGUGUAUAUUUAGUGCACACCUCAACACUGCCUGCAAACACCAGCAAGGAAGGAUUCAUGCAGCAUUGUGUCCUUCUCGCCUCUCUCUGCCUCCCCUCUGCAAAUAAAAAGAAGACACCCUUAAGCAUUGUAAAUAUUAAUUAGUGAUCAUUACAUACAAUAGGCGUUCGGAUGCCUCUCAUAAAUAAUCAUGUAAAGUUUUCAAACAACAGCAGCAUUAGUCUGGGAAUUUACUAUGUUUUGGCUGAGGCUUUACAGUAAAUUAAGUCAGAUCCUCCAUAUUCCUCAACCUCUCAACUGCACAUUCAACAAUAUUUCUUUUCUGAAACACCACAAAUUCCUUUAAAGUAAUGCUUAUGAAAUGUAAGAAACCUCCAUGAUAGGGGCUGUGUACAGGCAAAUGACCGUUACAGGGAACAUGGAAAAAAACCCAGUAACUGGCAGGGCAGGGUUGCUUGGUUUGCUUGACACAGGCAUCUCCUACAGCUAAAACACUCGGACAACCGAGGAGUCUGCUCCUUGUACCUGCUUUGUGCAACGGGAGCGGUGUUCAGCCGGCUGCAGUCUGGCACAGACCUGGCGAGGGGGAACAACAAGCGAGGCAGGAACCACUGGAAGAGGCGAAACACUUUCUGUCAACAGCCGUAGCGCAGACAUGGACAGAGCGCUCAGCAAUACGCUCACAAGCACUUUGCUCCUUCCUAUGCAGCUCUCCCUGAAGAGUCAAAACUUCAAAAACAGAAAAAAGAGGUAACUGCAGAGAUUGCUUCACAUACGCCUGCUAGAAGAGCCGUCUGCUGCUGCUGCAGCUUUCUCUAUAACAGAGUUUAAAAGAUGAACGAAGAAGACUUGUCAAAGUGAAUAAAGAAGCAGCCUACACAAAUACCCCUCCGCUGCUCAUGCUGGGACGCAGAUUAAAGGUCUUCAGUGCAACGCGAUCAAGCGCUGCAGACGCCAGCGAGUGCAAAGCGAGCAUAAAGGCCCAGGCAAACACCAAACUGCAAAAGUUGUUCAGACUCACGGCUAAGCACGGGUUUGAAGUCUGCACACUGGAUUUAGAGCCAAAAGGAGUAGUGGAGCAUUUAAGUCUGGAUCUAGAGCUUAGUGCUUUGUGCUGGAGCAAACCCGUGGGUCGCGCUGACAGGGCUCCGGGAGAAAAGCAGGACUGACGUGUUGGGAGAGCAAGGCAGCAAGAGCAGCAGGGCCACGGAGGCGUUUGCAGGGAGUCGUAAUGACUGGCCACCCCUAAAAGCCAUCUGGGCAUUCACAGUCCGGGUGCAGGACUAUCGAUUUCAUCCACUGUUUGCAUCACGGAGGGGAGACAUUCCCCUUUGCCACGCUGGGCACGGGAGCGGUUUCGGCAGGGGCCACGAGCCUUCCCUCACGCCGCCUGCUCGUCCGCCCUUCUGCUGCUACGCCAGCAGCUACUGCACCUUCCCGGGGCAUCGGCGCCUUUCGAGGAUGUAUCACGUCUCCUGAAUCCGUUAAUCGGGAAUGGGCGGCACUGUCGAUAGCAGGCAAAACCUCGUUCGUGGAUGUCUCAGGCUGGGAGAACAACUGCCCCCCGGAUACGGGACCGGCACGGCGCCGACCCGCGCGGUCUGCAGCGUGCGCCCUGGGUCCGAAUGUCUCCAAGGCCUGGAGCAGGCUUGGUCUGCUGCGACAGAUCGCUGCUCUUCACGGCGUUCCUGUCCGCUGCACUGCUCAGGCUACGGCAAGCUCAGGAAGCACAUUUUGAGGCAAACAAGCCAGUCUGAGGAGCAAGAAAACUGGUUUGCCUUUUCCUCUGUAGCGAGGCUUGCCUGGCUUGUCUGCUCGCACACUGCAAGGAGACCUUCCAGUCUGCGGCCGUAAUCACCCGCGGGAACGUAAUCACCUCUUGCGAACACUGCCUCUAAAACAAACCAAACUUUGACUAGCAAGUACAUUGUUUAGACCAUUCACCCUAACAGCAAAAGGCUAUUGGUUUUACCGUGUUCUGCCACGUUUGUGAAUUCAGCCAUUUCUCUCUAUUUGAGUGUGUUUCUGAUCAUCCUGAUGGAAAUCCCUCGCUUGAACCUUCUCCCUGGUGUCAGCCUGCCUCACCCGAAGCUGGGUUAGCAGCCGUAAGCGGUUCAGCUCUGCCGGUGGUUUUACAUCUUUAAUGGGAUCUGAAAUAUCCCUAGCAGCCUUGUCAAGGUUUGUAGUCCCAUUCGCGGGGAUUUGGGCUAGCUCACAUGGCCCAAAAGCCGAUCCCAGCCUCUGCUUGAUAAGUGUAAUCCCCAGCUCCCUUCCGAGUACGGUUCCUGGUCCUUCUCCCCGUCGCUCUCUCCUCGCCGGCACGGGGAGCAGGGGACGGGCGUGCAGGGGAGCAGACCAGCGCAGAACAGGGCUCCCGCGUGCCGUUCGUGCACAACAUCAACCUUCCUUAUGCUGCGGAAGGAAAACACGGUUCCUUGAGAGCGGUUGCCCACUCGGAUAAGCCUUUGCCUUCCAUGCUUCAGGCCCUGGCAGUCCUGCAGGUAUUUAAAGGCAGUAUUACAGUCUGCUCUGGUCUUCCAGGAACAAACUGUCUCUAUCACAGUAACGCAGCUGGAUUUGAGCCAGCGGUGGGGGCAAGAUGCCCCUGCCCGGCCCUCUCCCAUCCCACUGCUCCUCUUGAAAGACGAGAGGGUGCCGAAGCUGCAUCAGCUUUUUUAUUUCUAAAAAAUAGGUUGAAGGAGGAGCAAUGAAUAGCUGGGACCAGAAAAACAUUUCUCCCUUCCCCACGUGCCCCUUCUCCAUCGGGAAGGAGAACUAUCGCCUCGCCUGCAAGCCGGCAGCGUGUGCUUGAGCAUCUCCGGCGAGUCGUUCCCUGGCGUCCGGGGGGCACUUGGGACACGGCCACCCUCUGCUGCUGCUGCUGCGAUGGUCCCUGGCCGGCCUGCUCAUCCCGAGGAGCUCUUGCAGCUGUGCUAACCAAGCAGCUUCGGAGCAGACGAGCCUUGCCUCGCUGGGGACUGCUGGCCGUGCUGGAUACAAUGCAAUGACUUGAGACUAAGGUGAUGGAUGAGCUUGUGUGGAGGAAUAAGACAGGACUAAUCAGGCCUGGCUCUGCUCCGACUCCGCCACGGAUGCUCUUAGAGGUGUGAGAUGCCCAAAUACUCCUGUGCACGGGCCACGUAACACCACGAUUCAUACAACAAAUUCACAGAAGUGAUGGUUUCUGGCGUGUUUGAGAGGUUGCCUCAGAUUCACAGGUCCUUUACCGGUGCCACCUUCCUGGAAGAGCGCUGCCAGGACGCCUGCUCUAAGGCGUGCGGUUCGUUUUGUGUUCCACCCUUUCCUCUCCCCGGUAUCAGCUCUCAGCUUCCACAGCUCGGCUCGCCCUCGCUGAAGGACAGCACGGUGCAGUAUACGGUUCUCUGCGUCUCGGCGUCAGGCUUUUAGGUCAGCUUCGCUAAGAGAAAAGAGGAAACGAGUGACCUGUUGGGAGAUGGCCUGCAGAAGACCUUUAGGCACUAUUUGUUACCAAAAUUAAGGCUUGAGAGCUGCUGUGGUCUUUGCUGCUCCGCAGAACGUGCUGCCCUUCAUCCGCAGGUGCACAAACCCAGCCGUAGGGAGGACACGCAGAAGCGUCUCGAGGACUCACCAAAAGCCGCAGGACGCAAAGCGUGUCCCGGUGAGCCGGUGCCGUUUGCCGCAAGACAGCUGCUGGCAUUCCCGGCUGGAGCUGCCGGGCUCCCGGGCGCCGCGCUCGCCGCAGCGCUGCCGUCGCUGCUUCCAGCCGGUCCGCACGGCACGGCAGGGCUCCCCGUCCCGGCCCCUUUCCUGGCGCCGGGAGUUUGUCCCGGUUUCCCUGAGAGCCGGGCGGGAGGCAGGCGAGGUGGGAGCCCCUUCCCGGGGCCUGGAGCGCCCAUCGUGCCGCUGCUCCGCGCUGCCGAGGCGCUACGGCCGCAGCCGGUCCCCUUCUCCAUUUCCCCACAUGCACCAGGAACUCGGUAAUUACCUCUGCAUCUCACAGGGGGCCACGAAGCUUAAUUAAUUUGCAGCUUUCGGUGCUUUGUGCGCUCAGAGCGCCACGUGUUCAGUCCCUUCGUUACGGCGGAGUUAAUAGCGGUAUUCAUCCGAGUUGGGGCCGUCCCCGCAAAGCCCGGCGGUGCCAGGCUCCCGCCCAGGCGGUGAGGAGGGCCCGGCCGCGGGGACGUGUGGCAUCUCCGCCUGCCCGAGGCAGCACCGUGCCCCAGGCUCGGUGCAGCGCUGGGUGACCGCGGAGGCGGCGGGUCCCCGUGUGCGCGGGUGCUCGACCCGCGACGGAGGAGGACGCGCGGGGCCGGGGGACGCGCGCAUGGAGGCAACGCUGAACCAGGGCUUAUCAGAGGCAGCCUUCAUGCUUAGCUGCUUACUAGAGACCUAUCAGGACAAAAAUUAAACAGGCCAUUAAGCAGCACUCCAGUGGAUUAACAUUAGUCUGUCUCCCUUACGCUGCAGGAUUUCAGAAUGCCUUUGAAGUUGGGGUAUUAGAAAAUCACUUUCCAAGCCACAUAACUUUGAGCUUUAGAUGUUUCCUAACAAUUCUGUGGUUGAGGAACAGCUGACUAAUCCUUUAGGAUUUAAUGAGGUUAACUAACAUGCACAGCUUUGUAGGAGAGCUGUAGGUGGUAUUUUGGUGGUGAACAUGAAAAACAAUGACAAUAAGUAAUGUUCUCUAAGAGCCGUUAGGGGAAUGCAGCAUCAUUUCAGAAACUUCUGCAGAAGCUUCUCCUUUUGCAGACAAGGGCUCUGGUCUCCUUAAACAAUGACAAUUAAUAACGAACAGCGCUAUUUGCACGCGACUCUCACGUAGUCGAUAGGAUUACCCAUUUCUGGUCUCCAGGUUCAUUUCUGGUUUGUAAACACCACGUUUGGUCCCUGGCAGUCCAGGAAACCUCCUCCUGCGUGCCAGCAGGGUCACAGCAGCAUUUUGCUAGCGGCCGGUGGCUUUCAGCGUUGGGGACAGGCGCAGAGCGUGUCUAGCCGGGCCCUGCCGAGCCCGACCUGCUGCCUGUCACCCUCCGGCCCCGGGGCCGUCCAACCGCAGCACGUGGACGGCGAGCCGGAGCAGCCGGCGAUUCAUCUGCUCAUUGCAGAGUGCUGCAAAGUCCCUGCACUGCAUGUGCCUGCAGACUGAGCGAUGAACUUAAUUUGAUAUUUACAGUAGAAGUCAAAGUUGCACAUAACAAGUUGACACACAAAUUCAUUAGGAUGCAAUUACAGUGAUCAGAACUUAGGCUACCCAAUUAUUUUUAGCAAGAACAUGCAAUUACCUGCAGGUUCGCGUCAAACGCCGCCUGGUGCCACGAAUCAGGUUCAGAGGACUGGCUUGCCGAGGAGAACCCGGUGCUGUUUUUCUCCUGGCUGGGAGAUGGCAUGCCAGCGCGGAGCAGCAGCAGCCCAGGGAGCAAAAUACUCCAGGACUGACCGGUGCAUAAAGCAGGACGGCGUGGGCGGGAGCGUGACCAGGGCUUGGAGGACGCGGUGCAGAGCGCUGUGCGCCCCUGACCCCCGGGGAGAGCGGCCCAGGCCUCGGUCCCCGUGCCGCGUGGGGGACAGCAGUCCUGUGUCCCAGCUGUUUAGCAAGAAGGCUUCUGCACUGCAACUGAUCUUCCUACGUCUUCUUUGCAAAUGGACUUUUAAUGGACUGCCUUCCAAAUAAUAAAUAAUGAGCCUUUACACCACAA